This is a long non-coding RNA of Silurus meridionalis, 4048 nucleotides long. RefSeq lists it as uncharacterized. The record is from RefSeq and is a predicted model, not a curated record. The transcript is spliced from 4 exons. Lineage: Eukaryota; Metazoa; Chordata; Actinopteri; Siluriformes; Siluridae.
AGGUAUGUUUGCACUUGAACAUAUUAAAACUUCCAUCUUUGUUGUUGAAUACCAUGGGAUUCUCUCCCAAAGUAAACAUGUUGAAGAUAUUCAAAACAACUACUUGUUUGACUUUACAUGGAAUGGAACACGUUACUGCAUAGAUGCUUAAAAAGAGGAUGGUGGCUUGGACGACUGGUGAAUGACAAUCACAGAAAUCCAGACUGCAGAGUGAAGACAAUAAUUGUUGAAGGAAGGCCACACCUCUGCCUUUUUAUCAUGAGGGAUAUUCAGAUGAGGAGAUUACAUACAGCUAUGGGGAUUCCUCUUGGCCAUGGCGUUUAAUGGAAUUAUAGGAAGAGACCUCGGUGGCUGUGCCUGAAUGCAGUGUGAAUACUUCACAUCAGAGGAAAGAGGAGGUGGUGACUCUCUGCCCAGCUAUCAGUGUCUUCAAAAAGAGGUGGCCAGCUUUAUUCACUGAGACUCAAGUAAGAAUAAAAUGCUGGUCAUUAAAAUGCAUCUCUUUACAGUCUCAGAGUAUUGAGAAUAAAAGGGAUGCGGUGCUCUCCUGCUUCAUUGAGUACCUAGGGAAGCCGCAAGAAGAGAUCUUCGAAGACUCCCAGGUAAGUUACAAAAUGACCAAUAUACACAAGAUGUUGACAGCCUCAUAAACGAACAAUUUUCUCAUUUACAGCAUGUGGUUAGAUUGAUAAAUGUUAUUGGGUUCAAGCAUUAAAAUUUUCUCUUAACUUAUUGCUUGCAAUAAAGUUUAUUGUUGUUUAUUUCUGCCAAUUAAACAUGAAAAAUGACCAGGAGGACCAAACAGAACAAACUAUGAAAGUGCUUUUGAUCCAUAAUCCCAUGGCUGAGGACAUGUAGACGUAUCUAUUGUGAUAGAGGGCAUCCAAGUGAUCAGUGGGUGUGGAUACAAAACCAAGUUGUUGAUAGGAUUAAUCUAUGCCCUCAACCUUGAAUAUACCAAAAAGCUCAAGAAUACGUUUACAUUUACAUUUGCGGCAUUUAGCAGACACCCUUAUCCAGAGUGACGUACAAAAGUGCUUUAAAUCUCUAGUAAUGAAUAAAUCUACACUGGUACGCAAGAAUACAAACUUAAUAUAAAUAUAACUCGAAUUCUACAAACUUGGAAAGUGCUAAUUUAGGUAUUUCAGGAAGAGGUAGUUCUUCAGUUGUCGCUUGAAGAUAAUCAGGGAAUGAUUAAGAAUACUUUUUGAAGUAUUUCAAAAACUUAUUUUGGAGCUAAAUGGAGGCAAGUGUCUCAAGAAGGUUCACAGCCUUUAAAAUUAAACCCAUGGAAUAGACUGCUUCUUGCCUUUGUUGUUGUUGUUGUUGUUGUUGUUAAUGUCAAAAUGUUUUGAAAUGUAUCUCAUUGUAUACAUAAAAAAUACAUCUAUUCAAGUAUUAGUGUCUCAGGAUACAGUAAUUGGUAAAUUUCAAAUAGAUGUUUGUUAUUUGAACAAAUAGGCAUCCUAAGUUUAAUUAAUGAACAAGUAGACACACUAUUUGAGCAAUGUUAGCCUAAUUUUUUUAUUUUUUUAUUUUAUAAUGCUGUUUGAAGGAAAAAAAUAAAUUCCUUGUUAUCAAGAUUUGAAUAUGUUCUUGUUGAAUAUGCAAAGAAUCAUUUUGUUUGAUUUUUGGUUGUUUAUUAAAAAAUUCAUGAACUACUGUGUCUAACUUUUUAAUGUUAUUAGUAAGUUUACCUUCCUGAUUCAAUAAUGGUUAGUCAUAUUGGUUAAUUAAUAAAAGAAAUUAUUAAAUAAAUUGAAAAAAUAUUUAAUAAACAAAAUACAAUGGUGUUAAUAAUACUCACAAUAAGUAAUUCAUUGUCUAAUAUUAUGAAUAGAUUUGACCUAAUUUCAAUUGCCACGUUAUAGCUGAUUUAUUUAGGUACUCUUUACGAACAGUAUAGGGUGAAAUUUACCCAAACAGACUGAAUGCAAAUUGUUACCUCACAUUUUUUGGGUAGUUCUAUAGGUAAUUUUUUACAGUAAAUAUUAGCCAUUAGCUCCUUUGGUGCCCGAUGUAGCUACCAUUGUUAACUCUAUACCAGCAACUAACAGAUUUUUGAUAAUGAUAAUAUAUAUUCAUAUAUUUAAAAUAUUUUUAUGAAAAAAAAUUAUUUGUCAAAACCCUGUUUGUCAUGUCAUGUUGACUUUUUGCAAAAUGUUGCUACUGAAUAUCAUUCUCUCUGUAUUUCCUAAAACAUGAUUUGUCAUGUAAAUUUUUUGUUUUUCAUUAACUUUGUAACGGUUAUUAUUGAUAUAAAAAUUAUUUUCAUAAUUAUCAUUGUUUUAUACAAAAAUGUCAUGUAUUUGACAAAACUUGAUUUUUUUCAUGUCAUGUUUUUUCCCCUUAUUCCAUUUUGUAACAGUUUUUAAUGAAAUUAUGCUUAUGAAUAUGAAAAUUUAUAUUUUUUCAAUAGAUGAAAAAAUUAUGAAAAGUAAUAAUUCUGUCGAAACAUGAUUUGGCAUGUAUAAUUUUUUAGUUUUUCGUGUCACGUUUCAUUGACUUAAACACUUUUUUUCCUGAAAUGUACCUUCGAAAUAAGAAAAUUCAUAUUUAACAACAAAAAAUGUUGUCAAUAGGUGAUUAUAUCAUGUCUGAAUCAUGCCACAAAAGAUGAAAAAUUAUGAAAAAAGUUAUAUUUCUGUCAAAACAUUAUUUGGCAUUAUAGAUUAAAAAAAAAAUUUCAUGAAUUGUUUCUUCUAAAUAUGAAAAUUUAUAUUUUCAUCAUAUAUUGUAUUUUCAUAACAAUAGACAUUUUUGUCAAAAAUCGAUAUUUCAUGUCAUUAUUUUUGUCAAUUUAUUGAACUAUUGUACGUUUAUGGUUCCUGGUGGUCUAGUGGUUAGGAUGCGGCGCUCACCGGCGCUCUCACCGGGUUCGAUCCGCAGUCAGGGAACCAACCCCGGCCACUCUUAGUGCCGGUCCCAAGCCCGGAAAAAUGGAGAGGGUUGCGUUAGGAAGGGUAUCCAGCGUAAAAACAUGUGCCAAAUCAAACAUGUGGAUGAUCCGCUGUGGUGACCCCUGGAGGGAGAAACCGAAAGUUUUUAUUGUACCAUUGUACGUUUAUUUUUUUCAUGAACUUAUGCCUUUCAACAUUUCAUAUUUUCACAGUAACUCCAACCUUUAAAAAAAAUGUUUUUUCUCAAAACAAAUCUGGUGUCACCAUCAUUCACUUUUUGCAAUUUUAACAGUUCUUUAAUUAAAUUAUGCUUAAAAAGUACAUAUUUUUAUUUUACAUAUAUUUUUUUAUGGAAAAAUAAAACUUUUGUCAUGUACAUUUUUUUUUUGAUCGCUUAUUUCACUUUUACUAAUACAUUUUCACUUGAGCAUAAAAAUUCGUAACAUCAUACUUUUUCUGUUAAAUGUCAACUUUUUGUCAAAACAUGGUCAAUUUGUAGUUUUGUUUUGUUCACAAUGCCUUUUUAAUUGUUAUUCAUAAAAUUAUGCUAAUUUAUAUACAAAAAUAAAAUUUUCAUAAUAACUAUUUUUAUAUGAGAAAAAUCUGUCAAAACAUUGUCAUGAUUUUUAAGUGACGUGUUAUUUCCCCCUUAUUCCACUUUUUAAUGGUUUCUAAUUAAAUUAUGCUUAUGAAUAUGAAAAUUCAUAUAUUUAUAAUGACAUUUUUGAAAAACCUCAUUUUUGUUAAAACUUUCAUGUGUUUCACUGACUUCUUGCACUUUUAAAUUUUUUUCCUGAAAUGUACCAUCGGAAUACGAAAAUCUAUAUUUUUAUACCAAAUAAUCAUUUUUGUCAAAGGUCUUAUAUGUCAGUAUUUUUGUUCACUUACUGCACCCAUUUGUUUUUUUCAUGACAUUAUGAUUCUAAAUAUGAAAACAUAUUUUCACCAUAACUAUCAUACCUUUUAUGAAAAACGUAAUUUUUUUUCAAAAAAAUUUGUCAUGUCAUCAUUAUCGCUCACUUUCUGCCAUUGUUAACUGUUUUUUAAUAAAUUAAGCUGAAAAAUUCAUAUGAACUAUUAUAUUUUUAUAAAAAUAGUAAAAUUUCUGAAAAAAGUUCUUUUUGUCAAAAUGUCAUAUUUCAUGUCAU